Molecule: non-coding RNA, 2929 nt
Organism: Symphalangus syndactylus (siamang)
Lineage: Eukaryota; Metazoa; Chordata; Mammalia; Primates; Hylobatidae
Source: the annotation of a RefSeq genome assembly
UCUGAGAUAAAAGCUCAGCUCCAACCUUGCCUUGACUGAUCAGGACUCCUCAGUUCAUCUUCUCACCAUGAGGCUCCCUGCUCAGCUCCUGGGGCUGCUAAUGCUCUGGCUCCCUGGGACCAGUGGGGAUAUUGUGAUGACCCAGACUCCACUCUCCCUGCCCGUCACUCCUGGAGAGCCGGCCUCCAUCUCCUGCAGGUCUAGUCAGAGCCUCCGGUAUAGUGAUGGAUACACCUAUUUAGCUUGGCACCUGCAGAAGCCAGGGCAGUCUCCACAGCUCCUGAUCUAUGGGGUUUCCAACCGGGCCUCUGGAGUCCCAGACAGGUUCAGUGGCAGUGGGUCAGGCACUGAUUUCACACUGAAAAUCAGCAAGGUGGAGGCUGAGGAUGUUGGGGUUUAUUACUGCAUGCAAACUCUACAAGCUCCUCCCACAGUGCUACAUCCUCGAACAGAAACCUCUGUGCUGGGUUGGUCCAGCUGCCCACAUGUGCUGCUUGUCUGGGGAGCAGCUGAGCAGAGUCUCUGAGUCUGCAGAAGAGAAGGCUGUUGGAGACGUCAGGUGGUGUUUGCUGCUGAGGACGCUUCUCCAUGAGAGCCUCAGCAGCACCUCAGAUCCCACAUGUUAAGGCCCCACCAGCUGCCACAGCCUGGGGAGGGCCUCAGGAGGAGGAGAAUCCAUGGGGGCCACAUGCCCUGGGAGCAACCAGCUAUAAUGAAGGGAGAGUGAAUGAAAACCCACAUCCUCACCCUCCCUGUCUUGCCCACAUUUGUCAAGUUCAUGCAACUGUCAGAAUAACCAGACCAUGGAUGCAGUUUAGCGACAACACAAGUAGAACACACAUGGGAAAUGACCAGCUUGGGGAUUUUUUUCACACACGAUGGCACUUAGUCAUAUUGGGAAACUCAUAGUCUCCUGCCUUCCUAAUUCUGCUCUCCAACUUCCACUAAACCCUCCUCUCCAGUGUCUUACAGGAGAAAGCAUUCUACACAAGCUGUCUGCAGGGAACUAUGGCUAAGGACACUGAGUAGAAACGUUUGAUGUUGGAUUAUUCAAAUAGACUUUGUAAACUCAUGGCAGGUGUGAGAUCCAGUGUCAAAAAUUGAUUAGUCUUAAUUACUAUUCGGCAAGUGAAAAGCAAAUUUUCACAAUUCCAAAACUGUCCUUUAGAAAUAACUGCAUAAAGUCAAAGAUAAAAUAUAUAAAGUUUAUUUCAAGUACAAAGGAAACAUAGAAUUAUGUGAGAUUUUUUAUUUCUCUUCCAAAUUCUAAAAGUUUUGAAGGUAUUUAGGCUAAGUUCUACUUUAGAAUAGAAAUUCAUUACUGUGUUUUCAUAAGAAAAGAUUUCAAAGAAUACAGAAAUGCAUUCUUUUCAUGUGAUUACAUCAUUACCUGAAAAUGAAUCUGAAUUCUAUGUUUCAGUUGUAAAUGCAUGGAGCAUCUAUGCUUUUCAUAGAUUUUAUUAAACUUAGUGUUCUAAAUGAUAUUGAACCCGAUAAUGAGUCAUGUGAGCUACAUGGCAUAACACCGUGUGAUAGACACAAAAUAAUGACAGAAUCAACAGAAGAAGAUCCGCUUCAGGCUAAGGGUAUAAAGUACACUUGGGAAGAUUGUUUAUUCCAAGAUAUCAGAUUCCAUCUUAAGUGCAAUUAAAAUUACAAUGUUCCAUUUCUGUUAGGUUGAAAAAUUGUAUGGCAAAGUUUUUAUAGAUAUCAAUCACACUGGAGCCCUCAAAUGAAAAAAAUAUGGCACAAUAUGUUUUUAAAAAUACUGAUAUAUGCAUCAUUGAGCUGAAAAGGCAUUAUGCAGAAGGCAGUUAAGGAACACAAAGUGUGGCGUGGUGCAGUGGCUCCCAGCACUUUCAGAGGCCGAGGCAGGUGAAUCCGCUGAAGUCAGGAGUUUAGGACCAGCCUAGUCAACAUGGUGAAACUCUGUCUCUACUAAAAAUACAAAAAUUAGCCAGGUGUGGUGGCAUGGGCCUGUAAUUCCAGCUCCUCGGGAGGCUGAGGGAGGAGAAUCACUUGAACCCGGGAGGCGGAAGUUGCAGUGAGCUGAGAUCAUGCCACUUCAUUCACUCCUGCCUGGUCAACAUAGCGAGACUCUGUUAAAACACACACACACACACACACACACACACACACAAAGACACACAAAUUGUAAGUAGUAUGACCCAGAACUAAGAAAUGCUAUCAUCUUCUUCAGCCCUCAUGUGAUUGACAGCAUCUAGCGACCUUGAAUUUCUGCUUCGCCAUGAGACACAAGCUUAGUCCCAACCCAUUCAAGAUGGUUAGAUAUAUUUAACAAACACACAAACGACUCAUAUAAUGCUGAUGUAACAAAGGGCUACACUGUGAAAAGAAAUGGUGAAAGGUGAACAGUCCCCUAAACCUGAGAGAAGAUACGAGUAGAAUCAAAAUUGGCUGGUACAAAAAAGCCACUAGUUGCAGUUGACCAAAUGUGACAAGGUUCCUGUGUCUGUUGCCAUGGCAGUGCAGAGACAGGCAGGUGGCCUUGGUGGUGUCGGCGGCUCUGCUCCAUGAGGUCACUCAGGUGGGCAGGAGGCACAACCACCCUCAGCCCACAGCUUCCUCCAUCCUCACAGUCGCUGCCCCCACACCCAUCCUCAGCAGCAUGAGUGGAACAGAGUGAAGGGAAAGUUGUUUUCUUCUAAAUAUCAAAAAUCUUGAACUUGCAAAUAGAAAUAAAUGUUAUUUUUGCUGCAAGUACACAUUUGAGAAAUCUUCCACUGAGUGGACCUGAUAAUAAACCCACAUAUUUUGUAUGUUUUAACCUGAAAAUGUAUUUAUAUGAUUCUUGGAAAUAAUUUUAGAGUAUCAAAUUAUAUUUUAGCAGCUUAUUUCAAGUUGUUAUUUACCAUAUGAUAAUUACUCCUAAAACAUCAUCUAUUAAAAAAAAAAUCAUGUGUUGCUC